Molecule: ribosomal RNA, 482 nt
Filed under: uncultured bacterium
Lineage: Bacteria
Description: partial 16S ribosomal RNA
Rfam family: Bacterial small subunit ribosomal RNA
Source: RNAcentral
AAUGAACGUUGGCGGCAUGGAUUAGGCAUGCAAGUCGCGCGCGAAAUGUAGCAAUACAUGGAGAGCGGCGAAAGGGAGAGGAAUACGUGGGAACCUACCUUCGGGCCUGGAAUAGCGGCGGGAAACUGCCGGUAAUGCCAGAUAACGUCUCCGGACCAAAGGUGUGAUUCCGCCGGAAGAUGGGCCCACGUCCUAUCAGCUAGUUGGUGUGGUAAUGGCGCACCAAGGCUAAAACGGGUAUGGGGUGUGAGAGCAUGCCCCCACUCACUGGGACUGAGACACUGCCCAGACACCUACGGGUGGCUGCAGUCGAGAAUCUUCGGCAAUGAGCGCAAGCUUGACCGAGCGAUGGCGCGUGCGGGAUGAAGGCCUUCGGGUUGUAAACCGCUGUCGUAGGGGAAUAAUGGCCAAGGGGUACUCUUCUUGGUUUGAAUGAUCCUAGGAGGAAGGACGGGCUAAGUUCGUGCCAGCCGCCGCCGUAA